Non-coding RNA from Meleagris gallopavo (turkey), 277 nucleotides. The record is from RefSeq and is a predicted model, not a curated record. Lineage: Eukaryota; Metazoa; Chordata; Aves; Galliformes; Phasianidae.
GUAGAAUUUUAUUCUCUUGUUUCUAACCAAUAGUUUUUUAGAGUUUUAAACUGUAGAUUAAGACAGCUGUAGAGCACUAAAUAGUAUUUCAGUAGAGUGGUAGCCUAAGCUUUGCUAUCUUAUACUGGCAAUAUUCUGACCAAAUCAAUUGUUAACCUCUCCCUUCUCUGCAGCAAAAAGCACAAAUGUUUAUGACAAAAACACUCGUAGAAAUCCUCAAAUUCCUGUACAAAAUUCAAAAAGACAAUCCUCUAAAGAAGGAUGAAUGUGAAGCAAA